GAUGAACGCUGGCGGCGUGCCUAAUACAUGCAAGUCGAGCGAACGGACGAGAAGCUUGCUUCUCUGAUGUUAGCGGCGGACGGGUGAGUAACACGUGGAUAACCUACCUAUAAGACUGGGAUAACUUCGGGAGACCGGAGCUAAUACCGGAUAAUAUUUUGAACCGCAUGGUUCAAAAGUGAAAGACGGUCUUGCUGUCACUUAUAGAUGGAUCCGCGCUGCAUUAGCUAGUUGGUAAGGUAACGGCUUACCAAGGCAACGAUGCAUAGCCGACCUGAGAGGGUGAUCGGCCACACUGGAACUGAGACACGGUCCAGACUCCUACGGGAGGCAGCAGUAGGGAAUCUUCCGCAAUGGGCGAAAGCCUGACGGAGCAACGCCGCGUGAGUGAUGAAGGUCUUCGGAUCGUAAAACUCGGUUAUUAGGGAAGAACAUAUGUGUAAGUAACUGUGCACAUCUUGACGGUACCUAAUCAGAAAGCCACGGCUAACUACGUG
Molecule: ribosomal RNA, 497 nt
Filed under: uncultured bacterium
Lineage: Bacteria
Description: partial 16S ribosomal RNA
Rfam family: Bacterial small subunit ribosomal RNA
Source: RNAcentral